RNAcentral lists this ribosomal RNA (253 nucleotides) under uncultured bacterium. Its description in RNAcentral is "partial 16S ribosomal RNA". It matches the Rfam family "Bacterial small subunit ribosomal RNA", at positions 524 to 776 of the family's 1533-position model. The record is from RNAcentral.
UACGAAGGGGGCUAGCGUUGCUCGGAAUCACUGGGCGUAAAGGGUGCGUAGGCGGGUCUUUAAGUCAGUGGUGAAAUCCUACAGCUUAACUGUAGAACAGCCAUUGAUACUGAAGAGCUUGAGUACAGACGAGGUAGGCGGAAUUUAUGGUGUAGCGGUGAAAUGCAUAGAUACCAUAAAGAACUCCUAUUGCGAAGGCAGCUUACUAGGCUGUAACUGACGCUGAGGCACGAAAGCGUGGGGAUCAAACAGG